Long non-coding RNA from Vespa velutina, 2786 nucleotides. RefSeq lists it as uncharacterized. The record is from RefSeq and is a predicted model, not a curated record. NCBI's taxonomy places the organism in Eukaryota, Metazoa, Arthropoda, Insecta, Hymenoptera, Vespidae. The transcript is spliced from 3 exons.
UUUUAUUACAAUUAGAUUAAGUUCACGUAAAAAUAAAUCUACAUGGUUUCUUUCUUUUUCUUCUUCUUUCCUUUCCUAAUCAAGUCAAUCAAAUCACUUUUAUGAGAGUUAAAAAAGAUUUCAAAAGAACGUAACUCGAUAAUUAAACUCGAAGGAUCUCGACCUCGUUUUAUAAAUUAUUUCCAACGAAUGUGUUAAUGAAUAUUUCAUAGAUCGUUGACUACUACUACUACUAUUAUUAUUACUACUACUAAUAUCUCAAUUGUAAUAAUAUCAAAUUAAAAGAUCUCAUUCCCUCCCCGGCCGGUGAACGUCACGCAACACCACGUUAACGCGACGAGCUCGCCCGGGAUACUGAUACUAAAAUCGCUUAGACUCGUGCCAAAAGCCUAACAUCGUUUCAGACAAACUAAUACGCUUUAUACGCGCCAUUUUUAAAUACAACCUCUUUCUUUUUUAUUUUUUUUCUUUCUCUCCUUCUUUUUUAUGUAUCUCUCUUCCAAUGAUACGAAGAUGAAUGAAUACUGUUCUGCUAUUGGUCAAUUCUCCGAUUUUGUAAUAUCUACGGACUGCAAUACGAUAUUACGAUUAAAAAUAUAGUUAUAGAUAGGACACGUGACUUCAUUCGUCUCCGAUCGAUUUCAUUUUCAUUCAAAACAUAAAUAUGUUGACUAUCAUUUAAAAACAGACGAGAGUGAGAAUGAGUGAAAAAGAAAGAGAGAGAGAGAGAGAGAGAGAGAGAGAGAGAGAGAGAGAGAGAGAGAGAGAGAGAGAGAGAGAGAGAUAUUAUUUUCAAUUUUGUGAUGAAGAUUUUCUUCAUCUUUCUUGCCUCCUUCUCAAUGUUAUUUUUAUAAGACCCUAAAGACUAUACAUAAGUAAGAUGACUCACAGGAACUCGAAAAAAUGUUACUGAACUCUUGCAACAUAUUCGAUUUAUUUAACUACUGAAUAUAGAGAAAUUUUUAUCUUCAGGAAGUUAAAUAAUAGAAAGAUUUCUAAAUUGUGCAAGAGAAAGGUAUUGUUAACUUUGAUCAUUUUCUCGAUGACAUCACGAUCACUUAAAUAAUUCAAACGUAUGCUCGGCUGAUAAGGAAUUGAGUGUUGCUAUCUAAUCGGGAUAAUUGUAUGUAUAUCUUUAUAGAAAGUAUAGCAAGAUAUUGCGAUUAAAAAUUUGAUGUUAAAAUCUUCGUUUAUUAACACUGAUGUUUUAAUUGAAUCCAAAGAUCUUUAGGAUAAAUUUAAUAAAUGUUGAUUAAAAAUGAAAAAAAAAAAAAAUAAAAUAAAUAAAUUCUCAUCACACUGACAAAUACAAAGUUUCUAUAAAAAUCACUUAAAAAUAUCACUAUGGGAACAAAAAACGAAAAAAGAAAAAAUACAAAAAGGGAAAAAAAUUCAAAACAAAAAAAAGAAAAAAAGAAAUAAAAAUGACGAUUUAAGAUUUAACUUGCACCUUUCGAAUGAUCUUAACACCGGUCAUCCUGUCAAAAAUGUCACACAACAGUCAAUGCGUAACACCUUAUGUCAUAAUCACGAGUUGACAAACAAAAAAAAAAAAAAAAAAAAAAAAAAAAACAAAAACAAAAAAAUAUUAAAUAAAUCGAAUGAAAGCGAAAGUAAAACUAAUCGAAAAGUAUCUGACGAUGAGAGAGAUCUCUUUCUAGAGUUCCGUUCGAUUUAACAGACGACGAGACUGUGAAUAAGAGUUUAGUUCUCCUGACUCGAAAGACGUAAGCAGGUGGAAUGACAAGGCGUGCAAAGGCCGAGUCAUUAUCUGUUCUGCUACUGCUCGCGCCGCCACACGAUCCAACGCAGCCUGAAAACUAACAGAACGCGAUGUCCUCGCGCAUUUAUCGAUCCAAAAUGGAAGGCGGUAGAAACGAUCGUCCCUAACGAAGCCUGCGCUAACUUAUUGACUGUAUUCGCUUGGAUAUCAAAAGAAAGAAAGAAAGAAAGAAAGAAAGAAAGAAAAAAGAAAAAAAAAGAAAAGAAAAAAAAUAUAAUAAUAGAACAAAUGUAUAACAAUUAAUGAUAAUAUUCCAAAUAUGAUCAGAUCAAAAACUCGUACCAAGGAUAAAAUGGCGAUCCAAGGAUAUCCAGUUCCAAUCAGAUAAUAAACACUAAUUCGAUAUUAAAUCAUUAUAAAAAUUAAAUGCCAUUGAUAUUAACUCACCUGCAAAGAGAUAUCUUCGGGAUAUAACAAGGCCAACUGCCUAACUCGUUCCUGAAGUAGACUCAAUAGGGUAGUAUAUUUUCUAUUUAGUGUGUCAAGGUCACGCGCAACUCCAUCCACCGUAGUUACCGGUUCUCUACGUGGUCUUUUCACUGAUGCAUCCAACGAUGGGCACACUUCUUCCAGCUGUUCUUUGAAUGCUCUGAGCCUUUGUCCAUAGAUCUAUGGGGUUCGGUUAGUCCGUUACGAAUCGACGACGACCCAAUGUGAUGCCGUUGUAGUGUUUCAGAUGAACUUCGAGACAGAGAGUUAGCUGGAGGAGCCAAGCCCAUUGACUCUGCAUCGCUGACAUAUAGGCCUCGAUCGUUUUUGCUGCUGGAUGAUGCUGCAGGACCAAUGCUUCUCCUCUAUCUUGUACAGCAGAAAAUUGUAUUUCUCGUUUUUCCAAAUCGCUCAUCAGGGACUGUAUUAAAAAAUUAUAAUAAUCAUGUAGAAGAAAGAAUAAUUAUUAUAAUAAAUAUUAUAAAAUUGAUAUUGGAAAAUGAAAUGAAAUUUUUAAUUGUGUAUUAGUAAAAGAUUUACCUCAAUUCCAGAUCCGUAUGUACGCUUGUAAAAU